UCUUCAGACAUUUUGUCAUGUCUUAAGACAUUCUGUCAUGUCUCAAGACAUUUUGCCAUGUCUGAAGACAUCUUUCCAUGUCUUAAGAGAUAAGCAAUAUUAUAAAAGUUCAGCUAUAACGUCGAGAUACUAAAUUGUUCAUACCCCUCUAGGAUGACAUGGUAAUAGAUAUCAAUCAUCACUUUAUUAGACUUGACCGGCAGUAAAAUCCUUAGUUUAGUGGAGCGUCCGUUCGUCGUGUGGGAUCUUCCUUUUCGCAGCCAAGUCCGGUCAGAAUGGAGACAUGAAAACCGAUGAAACGUGUAUAAAGAAUAUCAUUUUCUUUUUACGUCAUGACCACGCCGGUAAAAGGGAUUUAGUAAAGGGCAUAGUAUAACGUAUACAUAUUGAUAACAACUCAA
RNAcentral lists this long non-coding RNA (401 nucleotides) under Mytilus galloprovincialis (Mediterranean mussel). Lineage: Eukaryota; Metazoa; Mollusca; Bivalvia; Mytilida; Mytilidae. The record is from RNAcentral.